RNAcentral lists this ribosomal RNA (435 nucleotides) under uncultured bacterium. RNAcentral's name for it is "partial 16S ribosomal RNA". It matches the Rfam family "Bacterial small subunit ribosomal RNA", at positions 28 to 507 of the family's 1533-position model. The record is from RNAcentral.
GAUGAACGCUGGCGGUAUGCUUAACACAUGCAAGUCGAACGGACUCUUCGGAGUUAGUGGCGGACGGGUGAGUAACGCGUGAGAAUCUGGCUUUGGGUUCGGGACAACCACUGGAAACGGUGGCUAAUACCGGAUGUGCCGAGAGGUAAAAGAGAAAUUGCCUGAAGAUGAGCUCGCGUCUGAUUAGCUAGUUGGUGAGGUAAAGGCUCACCAAGGCAGCGAUCAGUAGCUGGUCUGAGAGGAUGACCAGCCACACUGGGACUGAGACACGGCCCAGACUCCUACGGGAGGCAGCAGUGGGGAAUUUUCCGCAAUGGGCGGAAGCCUGACGGAGCAAUACCGCGUGAGGGGAGAAGGCUCUUGGGUUGUAAACCUCUUUUCUUAGGGAAGAACAAAAUGACGGUACCUAAGGAAUCAGCAUCGGCUAACUCCGUG